This 508-nucleotide ribosomal RNA is filed under the name uncultured bacterium. RNAcentral describes it as "partial 16S ribosomal RNA". It matches the Rfam family "Bacterial small subunit ribosomal RNA", at positions 28 to 523 of the family's 1533-position model. The record is from RNAcentral.
GAUGAACGCUAGCUACAGGCUUAACACAUGCAAGUCGAGGGGAAACGAUAGAGAAAGCUUGCUUUUUCUAGGCGUCGAGCGGCGCACGGGUGAGUAACGCGUAUCCAACCUGCCCAUCACUUGAGGAUAACCUUGCGAAAGUAAGACUAAUACCCAAUGACGUCCAUAGAAAACCUCUGAAAGGGAUUAAAGAUUUAUCGGAUACGGGUGGGGAUGCGUCUGAGUAGCUUGUUGGCGGGGUAACGGCCCACCAAGGCGACGAUCAGUAGGGGUUCUGAGAGGAAGGUGCCCCACAUUGGAACGGAGACACGGUCCAAACUCCUACGGGAGGCAGCAGUGAGGAAUAUUGGUCAAUGGGCGAGAGCCUGAACCAGCCAAGUAGCGUGCAGGAUGACGGCCCUAUGGGUUGUAAACUGCUUUUAUAAGGGAAUAAAGUGAGCCACGUGUGGCUUUUUGCAUGUACCUUAUGAAUAAGGACCGGCUAAUUCCGUGGCAGCAGCCGCAGUAA